Molecule: ribosomal RNA, 253 nt
Filed under: uncultured bacterium
Lineage: Bacteria
Description: partial 16S ribosomal RNA
Rfam family: Bacterial small subunit ribosomal RNA
Source: RNAcentral
UACGUAGGGUGCGAGCGUUGUCCGGAAUUACUGGGCGUAAAGAGCUCGUAGGUGGUUUGUCGCGUGGUACGUGAAAUUCCCUGGCUUAACUGGGGGCGUGCGGGCGAUACGGGCAGACUGGAGUACUGCAGGGGAGACUGGAAUUCCUGGUGUAGCGGUGGAAUGCGCAGAUAUCAGGAGGAACACCGGUGGCGAAGGCGGGUCUCUGGGCAGUAACUGACGCUGAGGAGCGAAAGCGUGGGGAGCGAACGGG